RNAcentral lists this ribosomal RNA (467 nucleotides) under uncultured bacterium. RNAcentral's name for it is "partial 16S ribosomal RNA". It matches the Rfam family "Bacterial small subunit ribosomal RNA", at positions 29 to 507 of the family's 1533-position model. The record is from RNAcentral.
AUGCACGCUGGCGGCGUGCUUAACACAUGCCAGUCGCACGGUGAAGGCGGAGCUUGCUCUGCUGGAUCAGUGGCGAACGGGUGAGUAACACGUGAGCAAUCUGCCCCUGACUCUGGGAUAAGCGCUGGAAACGGCGUCUAAUACUGGAUACGAGCUGCGAAGGCAUCUUCAGCAGCUGGAAAGAACUUCGGUCAGGGAUGAGCUCGCGGCCUAUCAGCUUGUUGGUGAGGUAACGGCUCACCAAGGCGUCGACGGGUAGCCGGCCUGAGAGGGUGACCGGCCACACUGGGACUGAGACACGGCCCAGACUCCUACGGGAGGCAGCAGUGGGGAAUAUUGCACAAUGGGCGAAAGCCUGAUGCAGCAACGCCGCGUGAGGGACGACGGCCUUCGGGUUGUAAACCUCUUUUAGCAGGGAAGAAGCGAAAGUGACGGUACCUGCAGAAAAAGCGCCGGCUAACUACGUG